UACGUAGGCAGCGAGCGUUGUUCGGAAUUACUGGGCGUAAAGAGCGUGUAGGCGGUGCUCUAAGUUCGGUGUGAAAUCUCCCGGCUUAACUGGGAGGGUGCGCCGGAAACUGGAGUGCUUGAGCGCGGGAGAGGAAAGCGGAAUUCCUGGUGUAGCGGUGAAAUGCGUAGAUAUCAGGAGGAACACCUGUGGUGUAGACGGCUUUCUGGACCGUAGCUGACGCUGAGACACGAAAGCGUGGGUAGCAAACAGG
Molecule: ribosomal RNA, 253 nt
Filed under: uncultured bacterium
Lineage: Bacteria
Description: partial 16S ribosomal RNA
Rfam family: Bacterial small subunit ribosomal RNA
Source: RNAcentral